This 54-nucleotide non-coding RNA is filed under the name Pseudopedinella elastica. The record is from RNAcentral. Lineage: Eukaryota; Dictyochophyceae; Pedinellales.
AAAAAUAAAACAAGGAAAUCAAAGCAAAAAAAAAAAAAAAAACGGAAAAAAAAG